GGCGGCCAUGGCCCAGGUGAGACGCCCGGUCCCAUUCCGAACCCGGAAGCUAAGGCCUGGCACGGCGAUGGUACUGCACCCGACAGGGUGUGGGAGAGUAGCACGCCGCCGCAUCA
This 116-nucleotide ribosomal RNA is filed under the name Bifidobacterium longum subsp. longum. Lineage: Bacteria; Bacillati; Actinomycetota; Actinomycetes; Bifidobacteriales; Bifidobacteriaceae. The record is from RNAcentral.